This is a long non-coding RNA of Sebastes umbrosus (honeycomb rockfish), 590 nucleotides long. RefSeq lists it as uncharacterized. NCBI's taxonomy places the organism in Eukaryota, Metazoa, Chordata, Actinopteri, Perciformes, Sebastidae. The record is from RefSeq and is a predicted model, not a curated record. The transcript is spliced from 4 exons.
UAUUCUCAUUAUAUUAUGACUUUUUCUCUUAAAAUUAUGACUUUAUUCUCAUAUUAUGACUUUAUUCUCAUAUGACUUUUUUUCUCUUAAACUUCUGACUUUAUUCUCAGAAUAUUACAACUUUUUUUCUCGUCAACCGACCUCAUGUCGGGAGGUGAAGCUGUUUAAGUAGACUGAGAUGAGCUGAGAUGAGCUGAGCUCUCCAUCAGGCCUGAUUGUGAUCAGCUGUGUUUCUGGAGCCAAUUCCUCUCUCCAAAAGACAACAGACACGUGGAGAAGACAUGGAUCAUCAAACUGAAUAGAUGAAGCUGAAGACAUGAAGCAUCUUUCUCCAGGAGUCAGACAUGGAUCAUCAAACUGAAUGGAUGAAGCUGAAAACAUGAAGCACCUUUCCUCCAGCUGUCAGAGACAUGAUGUUUGACAGGUUUCCUCCUGGACAGCAUCCACAGAGCAGAACAGCCAUCGCAGCCACAUCAUCCAGAGAGAAGGCUAGAGCCAACAGAAAGGCCACCAAGGGCAUGAUGACGAACUGACAGAGCAGAGCCAGCAGCACUCCGACGGGUCUGCGGAUGUGUUCUCCCAGCUGGCUG